AACGCACAUUGCGCCCGCCAGUAUUCUGGCGGGCAUGCCUGUCCGAGCGUCAUUUCAACCCUCGGGGCCCCUACGGCGGACCCGGCGUUGGGGAUCGGCCCUGCCCCGUGGCGGGCGCCGCCCCCGAAAUACAGUGGCGGUCUCGCCGCAGCCUCCUCUGCGCAGUAGUUCUCUCUGAAACCUCGCACCGGAAGCGCGGCGCGGCCACGCCGUUAAACCCCCAAAGCCUCCAAAAGGUUGACCUCGGAUCAGGUAGGAAUACCCGCUGAACUUAA
Molecule: unclassified non-coding RNA, 275 nt
Filed under: uncultured fungus
Lineage: Eukaryota; Fungi
Description: partial contains 5.8S ribosomal RNA, internal transcribed spacer 2, and large subunit ribosomal RNA
Rfam family: 5.8S ribosomal RNA (bases 1-52)
Source: RNAcentral